Amaranthus tricolor (Joseph's coat) is the source of this 106-nucleotide small nucleolar RNA. Lineage: Eukaryota; Viridiplantae; Streptophyta; Magnoliopsida; Caryophyllales; Amaranthaceae. The record is from RefSeq and is a predicted model, not a curated record.
AUUUCAUGAUGAGGACAUUGGCGCAAGAGAUCUUUGAAGCGCUCCCACGCUUCAUAAUAGUUUUCAAAUGGACUUUGCUUGAAAGUUUGAAUCUCCAUGCGCAAUU